UUUUUCCAAUAUUCUGUUGCUUAUAGGGGACUCAAAACAUUUGUACUCCACUGAAGGGAAUAUUUUGCCAUCCUAGCAUUAUACAGUGGAGUACUGCAUUCUUUUAGGGUAGUUUUUUCACCCUAAUGCUUGAUAGGAACAUUUGUCCUGAUCCAGAAGGAAAAGCUGGGAUUUGGCAUGAAGUAAAAAGAUGAUAAGGAAACAUGUUCAUUUUGUCUAUUCAACAAAGUAAUCUUGGCAAACACUUGUUUUAAAUAAUAGCCCAAUAUAAGAGUAUACUUAAAUCAGCAUUUGCUUUCGUGAUAGAGAAUUUUUAGGGAUGGUUUGGGGUUUUUUGUUUUUUGUUUUUUUAACAAGAAUAACUUGGUGCUUCUGUAAUACAUGGAAAAUAAAUUAGUCUUCAUCAUAGAAGUUAAUUUAGGCAGAAAUAAUAACAGGCUAUCAGGGAGAGAAGUCAUUCAUGCCUUGGCUCAUUUAGGAGGUUACCAUUUAAGUAGAUAUGGAACCAUAGGUAGAUGAAACAACACUUAAAAGAGCAGGUCAUUUCUUAAAAAGUACAAGGGAGUUAACCCUUCACUAGGUUUAAAAAGUGCUUUAACUCCUGUUGCCAUAUAACUUUACAAAUGUCCUCUAUCAACGAUGGAACUAUCAAUGUGAACAUAGUGGAAAUUGAGAGCCUUUUGAACAAAACACCAGGUUUACAGGGAUGCCAAAUGUCUUAAGAUGAUUUUUUUUUUUUUUUAAUUUUCAUUUACUUGGGUAAACUGCUAAGGGAAAUCACCAAGCCACUAGAGGGAGCUAUGAUGCAAAAUCAACCAGGAAAUCCCUACUGGAAAGGGUCCAUAAUGCAAGGUGGAAGGAAGCCAACUACCUGAAUGUAUAGCAGCUGUAAAGGGGGGGAGGGGGGAAUUGGUGAGUUUUCUUGCUAUAACUUGGCAUCUGUCUUAUCAUCUGUUUAGCAAAACCCUUUCUCUUUCCAACCUGUGGAUCCUUUUAGGUUUUGAAUAGAACUUGAGUAAUGAGCUUAAAUAAACCAGAAAAGUAUUUCUAGAUUUUUGUGAGAAAAUACUGAAGAUGUGAAUCUGCAUGUUUUCUGCCAACCUUGUACAUCUUGAGGCUGACUGGUUCCUUGCUGUGCUACCUGCCUCUGCUACUGAUCCAAACUGUGGAACUUCUCCUGCCUCCCUCCCCAAGGCCUCCAGGCGGUAUCCAAUUGUGUGUACAGGAAAAGUUGGAGAUGGUGACCUUGAUUAGAAUGUGCCUGGAGAGGAAUAAAUGGAGAAGCUAAGAAACAGUUGGUUAUGAAAGAUGUUGAAGUCUUGAAAUAAUGUGACCAUCUGAGAAAAUUUUUUAAACCACAGUUUAUAAAAAUAUCACUGAUACAGCCUGCCCCCUCAAGCCUUGUGACAGGAGACUUCUUAUACUGGAGACACUUGUUUAAUAAUAGCUUUGUCUCUGAUAUUCCCAGUAGCUACCUCUAUGUGAGUAAAGGAGAGAAAACGUUCAGACAUCAUCAUGUAAAGUACCAGUAGCAGUGACGCCUACACGGAAGACUUGGAACUGCAAAGAGGCUGGGGUCACCUCAGUGACAUCUGACGCUGUCCAACCAGAAGUUCGAUUUUUGUUUGGGGGAGUGAGGAAGCUGUAUUAAAGGACUAAAAUACUUUCUUGA
Long non-coding RNA from Phyllostomus discolor (pale spear-nosed bat), 1672 nucleotides. RefSeq lists it as uncharacterized. The record is from RefSeq and is a predicted model, not a curated record. Lineage: Eukaryota; Metazoa; Chordata; Mammalia; Chiroptera; Phyllostomidae. The transcript is spliced from 2 exons.